Long non-coding RNA from Micropterus dolomieu (smallmouth bass), 531 nucleotides. RefSeq lists it as uncharacterized. The record is from RefSeq and is a predicted model, not a curated record. The transcript is spliced from 3 exons. Lineage: Eukaryota; Metazoa; Chordata; Actinopteri; Centrarchiformes; Centrarchidae.
UGUAACAAUUAGCAUAACAUCCAGCAGCGUUAGCAUGGCAGCCAUAUUGACAAGCACAUAGACAGCUAUUAUCACAGCUAGCUACUCAGUGGAGACAAGUUACUAACUCACAAUACACGUGUUAGCAAUGGUAGAAAAUGCAUACCUGUAUGAAGUGAAGCUCUGAUAGUCUCCGGUGCAUCUUGUUGUGGUCCAAAGCUCCCACAGAAGGACAGACAUGCAUUUUACAGCCCACCACCUUUUACGUAAACAUCUGACUCUUGAAUUCAACAUCUGCUCUGGGUUCAGCCUGACAGAUCCAGAAGCUGUUUCGAGUAUCUUCUGCAAAACAUCUGCCUGUAGGUAAAACAUGCACAAAAUACACGUUUUCAGGUUUUAUUGUGUUUUCACCAGAUUGGUAUCAGAGCCAUGACACACACAGAGCACCCAUAUCAUAUAUUUACCCAUAACAGUCUGUGUACCCAUGUGGAAUCUGUUAAGCCUGCCAGAGCCAGAUAAAAACCUGUUUUAAUGCCAUACACGGCUAAGAAG